GGGAAACCGGGGCUAAUACCGGAUGGUUGUUUGAACCGCAUGGUUCAGACAUAAAAGGUGGCUUCGGCUACCACUUACAGAUGGACCCGCGGCGCAUUAGCUAGUUGGUGAGGUAACGGCUCACCAAGGCGACGAUGCGUAGCCGACCUGAGAGGGUGAUCGGCCACACUGGGACUGAGACACGGCCCAGACUCCUACGGGAGGCAGCAGUAGGGAAUCUUCCGCAAUGGACGAAAGUCUGACGGAGCAACGCCGCGUGAGUGAUGAAGGUUUUCGGAUCGUAAAGCUCUGUUGUUAGGGAAGAACAAGUGCCGUUCAAAUAGGGCGGCACCUUGACGGUACCUAACCAGAAAGCCACGGCUAACUACGUGCCAGCAGCCGCGGUAAUACGUAGGUGGCAAGCGUUGUCCGGAAUUAUUGGGCGUAAAGGGCUCGCAGGCGGUUUCUUAAGUCUGAUGUGAAAGCCCCCGGCUCAACCGGGGAGGGUCAUUGGAAACUGGGGAACUUGAGUGCAGAAGAGGAGAGUGGAAUUCCACGUGUAGCGGUGAAAUGCGUAGAGAUGUGGAGGAACACCAGUGGCGAAGGCGACUCUCUGGUCUGUAACUGACGCUGAGGAGCGAAAGCGUGGGGAGCGAACAGGAUUAGAUACCCUGGUAGUCCACGCCGUAAACGAUGAGUGCUAAGUGUUAGGGGGUUUCCGCCCCUUAGUGCUGCAGCUAACGCAUUAAGCACUCCGCCUGGGGAGUACGGUCGCAAGACUGAAACUCAAAGGAAUUGACGGGGGCCCGCACAAGCGGUGGAGCAUGUGGUUUAAUUCGAAGCAACGCGAAGAACCUUACCAGGUCUUGACAUCCUCUGACAAUCCUAGAGAUAGGACGUCCCCUUCGGGGGCAGAGUGACAGGUGGUGCAUGGUUGUCGUCAGCUCGUGUCGUGAGAUGUUGGGUUAAGUCCCGCAACGAGCGCAACCCUUGAUCUUAGUUGCCAGCAUUCAGUUGGGCACUCUAAGGUGACUGCCGGUGACAAACCGGAGGAAGGUGGGGAUGACGUCAAAUCAUCAUGCCCCUUAUGACCUGGGCUACACACGUGCUACAAUGGACAGAACAAAGGGCAGCGAAACCGCGAGGUUAAGCCAAUCCCACAAAUCUGUUCUCAGUUCGGAUCGCAGUCUGCAACUCGACUGCGUGAAGCUGGAAUCG
This 1197-nucleotide ribosomal RNA is filed under the name Bacillus sp. IMER-B3-16. RNAcentral's name for it is "bacterial SSU rRNA". It matches the Rfam family "Bacterial small subunit ribosomal RNA", at positions 151 to 1334 of the family's 1533-position model. Lineage: Bacteria; Bacillati; Bacillota; Bacilli; Caryophanales; Bacillaceae. The record is from RNAcentral.